UGGUCAGAUGACUACUCAACUGUUAUUGGUCAACUGGGUUCGGCGUGUGUUUGAAAGGUUACGCCCCUGACUACGCGUGGAUUUUCCGGUUCUGACUGAGAGUCACAGGCAACGUAAACAAGCGCUAUAUUUCUCUAUAAACGAUGGUGUCUGUACUGCCUUACCACUUCAAGCUCGAUCCAGAGAGUUCAGACGGCCGUUACGAUGUAAACGAUCUCCGUCAAUGAACGCGAUUGGAUUUAACUUUUUUAGGUGUCCUUAGCUCUGCCAGAAUGCUAAACGAAGACGAAAAUGUGUUGCAAAGACAUCCAAAAGGUUUUAAGGAGAAUGCAACAGGUUCCAGGGCCUCUUACCUGCGUGAUUCAUCAUCCAGGUUUUGCACAAAUUGUCUAAAUCCCUACACACAGAACAUUUAUUGUACCGACUAUAAGCCUUUGAGGUGCAGGACUACAAUACGCUUGGAGCUUCCUGAUCAGAUCGGUCACAAUUUUGGCUUUCGACGACCCCUGCACUGAAGAUGGCAUGCAAUCACGUCCUCCUUUGAAGGUCUCUCAAACUGUGAUGCCAGGUCCAUUGGAAUCGGGGUUUCCU
Non-coding RNA from Paramisgurnus dabryanus, 591 nucleotides. The record is from RefSeq and is a predicted model, not a curated record. NCBI's taxonomy places the organism in Eukaryota, Metazoa, Chordata, Actinopteri, Cypriniformes, Cobitidae.